UGAUCUUCACCAUUGGGAGAGCUCAUU
RNAcentral lists this non-coding RNA (27 nucleotides) under Rattus norvegicus (Norway rat). Lineage: Eukaryota; Metazoa; Chordata; Mammalia; Rodentia; Muridae. The record is from RNAcentral.